This 419-nucleotide ribosomal RNA is filed under the name uncultured microorganism. RNAcentral's name for it is "bacterial SSU rRNA". It matches the Rfam family "Bacterial small subunit ribosomal RNA", at positions 9 to 429 of the family's 1533-position model. The record is from RNAcentral.
GAGUUUGAUCUUGGCUCAGAUUGAACGCUGGCGGCAUGCCUUACACAUGCAAGUCGAACGGCAGCAUGAUCUAGCUUGCUAGAUUGAUGGCGAGUGGCGAACGGGUGAGUAAUACAUCGGAACGUGCCCUGUAGUGGGAGAUAACUAGUCGAAAGAUUAGCUAAUACCGCAUACGACCUGAGGGUGAAAGUGGGGACCGCAAGGCCUCAUGCUAUAGGAGCGGCCGAUGUCUGAUUAGCUAGUUGGUGGGGUAAAGGCCCACCAAGGCGACGAUCAGUAGCUGGUCUGAGAGGACGAUCAGCCACACUGGGACUGAGACACGGCCCAGACUCCUACGGGAGGCAGCAGUGGGGAAUUUUGGACAAUGGGCGAAAGCCUGAUCCAGCAAUGCCGCGUGUGUGAAGAAGGCCUGGUGUAAG